Danio rerio (zebrafish) is the source of this 912-nucleotide long non-coding RNA. The record is from Ensembl. Lineage: Eukaryota; Metazoa; Chordata; Actinopteri; Cypriniformes; Danionidae.
UUUAUUUACUAUUUUUAUGAUCUAAAACUAAAUGUUUUCCUUCUGCAUCUGAAAGCCAGCUAUCAGUGAAUAUCUGUGGUGUGCUUUGGGUUAAUGAAUGAAGUGUUGGUCUCCAUUAAGGGCUUUUGUCUGGCACAUUAGCUGCUAACAGAUCCAGGCUUUGUUUUGCUGCUCCUUGUCGAAUCUGGACAUCGAGAGUAAAUUGAGUGGACAUUACCAGGCUCCAUGGCACCUGCAGAGGAACGUGUUUCUGCCGUCCACGAGGCCCGCGUGUGUGGAGGAGCUGCACCGACACGCCAAACAGAGCCUGAGGGCCAUGUACAGGGAUCAGCAGCAGAGGCAGCAGGAGAGCGAGAGAGAGCGGCGGGUCACCAUCUCCAUCUCCAUGCUCCCGUCGGUGCCCUCAUACCCAUCGCCCCGCGCCCACAGGAGACGCCAGCAGAGGGACACACAUCUUAGCACGGUAAAGAACUUUGAAAAACACAGUAAACUGCUGGGUGUAGCUGUGUGAAGCUCAUAUUAGUGUGUGGGUUUGUCUGUGCGUGUGUAUGCAUGUGUGUGUGUGUGUGUUUAGGAGAGGACGGAGAGAGACACAGAGACUCAGACAACACAGACACAGGUAAACCUCUCUUGAAGCCAAUAAUCAUACUUAUUUUUUUAUAUUUUAUGCAUUCAUUCAACUCUUGUGAAAAAGACUUAAAGUACAAAGGAAAUCAAAACUAACCAUAUUGAUUUGGUUAGCUCACAUUGCUAGUUUUGUGGUGAACAAUUCAUCUUUGCAUGUCAUUGAAAAAAGGUUUAUUUAUGAAGUUAUUUAUAGGUUUAGUCUGUUAUGAAUAGUACUCUUGCAGAAAUUUUCUCCUGCUUUAAGCAUUAAGUCUCUUUAUAACACAUAUUUGCUGUCAUAUUUGU